GGCGAACGCUGGCGGCGUGCCUAAUACAUGCAAGUCGAACGCUGAAGGAGGAGCUUGCUUCUCUGGAUGAGUUGCGAACGGGUGAGUAACGCGUAGGUAACCUGCCUGGUAGCGGGGGAUAACUAUUGGAAACGAUAGCUAAUACCGCAUAAGAGUAGAUGUUGCAUGACAUUUGCUUAAAAGGUGCAAUUGCAUCACUACCAGAUGGACCUGCGUUGUAUUAGCUAGUUGGUGGGGUAACGGCUCACCAAGGCGACGAUACAUAGCCGACCUGAGAGGGUGAUCGGCCACACUGGGACUGAGACACGGCCCAGACUCCUACGGGAGGCAGCAGUAGGGAAUCUUCGGCAAUGGACGGAAGUCUGACCGAGCAACGCCGCGUGAGUGAAGAAGGUUUUCGGAUCGUAAAGCUCUGUUGUAAGAGAAGAACGAGUGUGGGAGUGGAAAGGUCACACUGUGACGGUAUCUUACCAGAAAGGGACGGCUAACUACGUGC
RNAcentral lists this ribosomal RNA (496 nucleotides) under uncultured bacterium. RNAcentral describes it as "partial 16S ribosomal RNA". It matches the Rfam family "Bacterial small subunit ribosomal RNA", at positions 28 to 508 of the family's 1533-position model. The record is from RNAcentral.